RNAcentral lists this long non-coding RNA (382 nucleotides) under Prunus persica (peach). RNAcentral's name for it is "long non-coding RNA (PPER_LNC001408)". The record is from RNAcentral. Lineage: Eukaryota; Viridiplantae; Streptophyta; Magnoliopsida; Rosales; Rosaceae.
UUGCAGGGAGAAAAACUGAGAAGUUCCAUAUGCACAAUUGCUGUGGUAGGAGUCGAGGAGCCUUUCCAUAUAUUGGAUCAGGACACUGUUCAGAAGUUGAUUGAUGCAUUUGAGAUCGUGGGGCAGGACGAGCCUCCUGCUGCUGAACCUGAUGUUGCUACUGAGCCUGGACCAGCUGCAGAAGAGGGAGCUGGUGCUGGCGAUGGUGCUGGCCAGGGUGCUGUUGCUGAACCAGAUGUAGCUCCAAUGGAUAUUUGAGGAUGCUAGAAUCAGUUGUCUUUCGACCCUUUCAGUGAGGUUUUCGAUCAUGUGUUUCUUAUGAGUAUGGAUGGUAUUGUAUAAGAUAACAAUUUAUUGUUGAACCUUUGCCCUUCCUUUUUCU